This 72-nucleotide transfer RNA is filed under the name Perca flavescens (yellow perch). It matches the Rfam family "tRNA". From Rfam's summary of the family: Transfer RNA (tRNA) molecules are approximately 80 nucleotides in length. Lineage: Eukaryota; Metazoa; Chordata; Actinopteri; Perciformes; Percidae. The record is from Rfam by way of RNAcentral.
UCCUCGUUAGUAUAGUGGACAGUAUCUCUACCUGUCACGCAGAAGACCGGGGUUUGAUUCCCCGACGGGGAG